Molecule: unclassified non-coding RNA, 1878 nt
Filed under: Hevea brasiliensis (rubber tree)
Lineage: Eukaryota; Viridiplantae; Streptophyta; Magnoliopsida; Malpighiales; Euphorbiaceae
Source: RNAcentral
GGUAGGCGAAUAAGCUUAUCUCCUUCCUUAAAACUUUCAAGACAUAUGCUACAAUCCCAUGAAACUUGGGAAACUUCCCCUUCAACAACACCCCUUUCCAGGUUGCUAAAUACCUCCAAUGAUAAUCUGUCAAGAUCCUCUGCAUUUAGACCAGGUGGUUUCUUCUUGUAUGAUUCCUGCAUGAAUUGCAGCCUUUCUGUUUGAGAAGUUGGGUCAGUGAAAGGAGUUCCUCUGGCAGACCACCUUGAAGCAAUGUCAGUUCCCCAGUCUCCCGCAUCAACAACCCUUGAGUCAUCCCAAAAUGUAUGCUCUCUGUUAUCAAUGUCAAAUGACACUCUGCCACUUCGCCUGGUUAAAGAAAAAAUGAAAACAUCAGCACACUAGAACACAGCUCAGAGCCAAGGAUUCGGACACUACUUUAGAAGCAUUUAUUAGCAAAUACAAAUGAAUAUAACAUCAAUCAUCUGUUCAUCAUCCCCAGUACCUAUAAAACAGAUACUAAUAGUAACAAAAGCUGCAGAUAAAAUAGGAGUUGAGGUGAUAAUGGUAGCAGAAUGAUAGUAGCAACAGUGACGAUCAACACCAUACUAUAGAAAUUCAGUUUAAAAGAGAAGGAAGUGAAUCAUAAAAUUCAAAGUAAUAAAAUCAUUACUUAGUGAUUAUUUGCCUGUGAAGUAAGCACCAACAGUUUCCCAUGUGCACUAUGUCUAAGAGGUGAAUGCAAUAGCUUGAGCAAAAUAUUUUGCUUUUCCCAUUUUUGCCAAAUUCAUUUAAAUUAUUUCAGUCAAGUCAACUUUGGGUAAAAAAACCAUUUAGUACCUCCCAUACAAAUAAAAUAUAGCAGUAGAAUCCCACGAAGCACUUGGCUUGUAAUUUUAUACUUUCCUUUACCUAUCAACCAGACAGAUUUAUUCACGAACAUUUGAAAUGGGUAAAAGCAGUAGCCACUAGCCUGCUACAGCACAAUGGAUUCGCAAGGAUCUAAUAGCAAUAUAGCAUGCAAGCUCCAUCAAGUUCCAUAAUAAGAACUAAAGGUAGCAGCAUUGAAGUUGAUAGGAAGGAAUCAAAGCUUGAAACAUGAAAAAGUUUACCAUUGUUAACAAUUAUGGCUAACAAGCUAUUCUACCAUACAUACAAAGACAAUUUUUUUUAACACAAUUACAGCAUUAUAUAAGGAAAGCAAAUAGAUAGUUAAAUCACCUGUUUCCAGAAAGUGACACCCCUCUCAAUCUCUCAACAAGUCUUGCCCUAGCAAGUAGCACACCUCUAGGAAGCCUUUCAUUUCCAGUCAAUCUAGGCCUGCUUGUGCUGCUUAUAGUUUCUGAGCUAGUACUGUUGCUUGGCACAAACAGACUUGUGCUGUGAUCAAGCCAACCUGAGGCAGGUUCAGUGUGGGAAGGCAGGCGAUGGCACAGGUGCCGCACAUGAGAAGAUCUCCUGAGAGGAUCACAACCGUCUAAAUCGUGCCGUGUAUGAUUAUGAUACUGAUGGUGGUGUUGGCGAGUAUAAUUAAGGUGAAAAUUGCGAUCAGAACUGGAAGGAUCAAGCUCCAGAUCGGCGGUGGUGGCUCUGCCCACUCGCGACCUCCUCUGGUAAAACAGCUCCGAUGCGCUCGUCAUGCACUAAUACAAACGCAACAAUGCACAAUCCGAUCCGAGAUUCGCAUAUAAAGAAAAAAGGGAAAGGGAUUUGGAAAUGAAAAUAUUGAAGAAGAUAUUAUUUCCCGUGAUGGGCGCUUUCAACUUCCACCCGUUUGACUUCAUGUAAAAUGGUGUUGGCAAGCCUCUAAGGGGUUUGGAUUGGAAGGGUUGGUUUACAUGAGAAUGGCAAUUGCAACCGACUCUCACCCGAGCUGAUCCACACCCAACUAAUUUUUUU